Molecule: unclassified non-coding RNA, 254 nt
Filed under: Hevea brasiliensis (rubber tree)
Lineage: Eukaryota; Viridiplantae; Streptophyta; Magnoliopsida; Malpighiales; Euphorbiaceae
Source: RNAcentral
GGCUGUAUUGGGCAAAUUUGGUAUCGAUUCCGAAAUCCCAGAAAGAAUAUUUUCUAAGUUUUUUUCAUGGAAGGUUCCUUUUUUUUUGGUUUUUUUGAAAGCUUCUCUCAAUUAUUUUAAUUGGAUGAUAUAUAAAAAUUUCCCACCUUUUUGAAGAAUAGGUUGUACUCCAAUUAGGAGAAUCGAUGUACUGGUUAAUACGAUUUGAUAAAAGAAUGCUUGUUAUAUAAUAGUUGAAAUGGUGUUGUUUGGUC